CUGUGCUAGACGGGGAGGUAGCGGUGCCCUGUACUCGCAACCCGCUGUAGCGAGGUCGAAUUCCCGUCCGAGGCCGGCUCUUGUGAGGUCUGCCCAUAAUAAGUGGCGUUGAAGAUUGGGUCCUACGCGGCAGGGCUUUACGAACCCCGUCAGGUCCGGAAGGAAGCAGCGGUAAGUAAAAUCCCCUGGGUGCCGUAGGAGUGCCUGAUUGGAGCAAACUGUUAUGGUUACGCUCGGAAGGACUCGGUCGAAGUCGGGUGCACAG
RNAcentral lists this signal recognition particle RNA (265 nucleotides) under Bacillota bacterium. Its description in RNAcentral is "Firmicutes bacterium (anaerobic digester metagenome) signal recognition particle sRNA large type". It matches the Rfam family "Bacterial large signal recognition particle RNA". From Rfam's summary of the family: The signal recognition particle (SRP) is a universally conserved ribonucleoprotein involved in the co-translational targeting of proteins to membranes. Lineage: Bacteria; Bacillati; Bacillota. The record is from RNAcentral.